UUUCUUCAACAAACAAAAUGUCUUACUGCGUUUCUUUUGUGAAAUAAACUUUUCGUUAUCAAAAAAUUUGGUUGCAGUAUUCUCCUUCAACCAUUUCUCCUCUACCUUACUCGAUCUCAUGUUCAUCUUUCAGGGUCUCGUUUAAAACCCUUUAAUCGGUUGGUUCAAGGAUACGACCUCGAGUUGAAGUACAAUUCCAAAUUCAUCAAAGAUAUUUCUUAAGAGAAACGAUGCUGGUGACCAUUUUCCCUCACUUGCAAUCUGCUUAGGCUUUGAACUAUUAAGU
Long non-coding RNA from Papaver somniferum (opium poppy), 286 nucleotides. RefSeq lists it as uncharacterized. NCBI's taxonomy places the organism in Eukaryota, Viridiplantae, Streptophyta, Magnoliopsida, Ranunculales, Papaveraceae. The transcript has 3 exons. The record is from RefSeq and is a predicted model, not a curated record.